UACGAAGGGUGCAAGCGUUACUCGGAAUUACUGGGCGUAAAGCGUGCGUAGGUGGUUGUUUAAGUCUGCUGUGAAAGCCCCGGGCUCAACCUGGGAACUGCAUUGGAAACUGGCAAGCUCGAGUAUGGCAGAGGGGGGUGGAAUUCCGCGUGUAGCAGUGAAAUGCGUAGAGAUGCGGAGGAACACCGAUGGCGAAGGCAGCCCCCUGGGCCAAUACUGACGCUCAGGCACGAAAGCGUGGGGAGCAAACAGG
Molecule: ribosomal RNA, 253 nt
Filed under: uncultured bacterium
Lineage: Bacteria
Description: partial 16S ribosomal RNA
Rfam family: Bacterial small subunit ribosomal RNA
Source: RNAcentral